This 1058-nucleotide ribosomal RNA is filed under the name Vibrio neocaledonicus. Its description in RNAcentral is "bacterial SSU rRNA". It matches the Rfam family "Bacterial small subunit ribosomal RNA", at positions 34 to 1074 of the family's 1533-position model. Lineage: Bacteria; Pseudomonadati; Pseudomonadota; Gammaproteobacteria; Vibrionales; Vibrionaceae. The record is from RNAcentral.
CUUUGGGGGCGGCCUACACAUGCAAGUCGAGCGGAACGAGUUAUCUGAACCUUCGGGGGACGAUAACGGCGUCGAGCGGCGGACGGGUGAGUAAUGCCUAGGAAAUUGCCCUGAUGUGGGGGAUAACCAUUGGAAACGAUGGCUAAUACCGCAUGAUGCCUACGGGCCAAAGAGGGGGACCUUCGGGCCUCUCGCGUCAGGAUAUGCCUAGGUGGGAUUAGCUAGUUGGUGAGGUAAGGGCUCACCAAGGCGACGAUCCCUAGCUGGUCUGAGAGGAUGAUCAGCCACACUGGAACUGAGACACGGUCCAGACUCCUACGGGAGGCAGCAGUGGGGAAUAUUGCACAAUGGGCGCAAGCCUGAUGCAGCCAUGCCGCGUGUGUGAAGAAGGCCUUCGGGUUGUAAAGCACUUUCAGUCGUGAGGAAGGUGGUGUAGUUAAUAGCUGCAUUAUUUGACGUUAGCGACAGAAGAAGCACCGGCUAACUCCGUGCCAGCAGCCGCGGUAAUACGGAGGGUGCGAGCGUUAAUCGGAAUUACUGGGCGUAAAGCGCAUGCAGGUGGUUUGUUAAGUCAGAUGUGAAAGCCCGGGGCUCAACCUCGGAAUAGCAUUUGAAACUGGCAGACUAGAGUACUGUAGAGGGGGGUAGAAUUUCAGGUGUAGCGGUGAAAUGCGUAGAGAUCUGAAGGAAUACCGGUGGCGAAGGCGGCCCCCUGGACAGAUACUGACACUCAGAUGCGAAAGCGUGGGGAGCAAACAGGAUUAGAUACCCUGGUAGUCCACGCCGUAAACGAUGUCUACUUGGAGGUUGUGGCCUUGAGCCGUGGCUUUCGGAGCUAACGCGUUAAGUAGACCGCCUGGGGAGUACGGUCGCAAGAUUAAAACUCAAAUGAAUUGACGGGGGCCCGCACAAGCGGUGGAGCAUGUGGUUUAAUUCGAUGCAACGCGAAGAACCUUACCUACUCUUGACAUCCAGAGAACUUUCCAGAGAUGGAUUGGUGCCUUCGGGAACUCUGAGACAGGUGCUGCAUGGCUGUCGUCAGCUCGUGUUGUGAAAUG